AGAGAGAGAGAGAGAGAGAGAGGAAUGAGGUGUGAUAUUUGUGAAUGAUGUCAUCUGCCCGUUCUGCCCUUCACUCUCAACUACACUUACGGGCAGCCCUCUCUCUCUCUCUCUCUCUUGAUUCCUAAAAAAAAUCUCAUAUCAUCUUCUGUCUCUCUCUCUCACACUACAUCUCUAUAUCCGUGAGUGAGCUUCCUCUUGUUCUCCAUCGUCUCUUCUCUCUCUGCUCGAAGAGCUUACAAGAUGUGUUUGAUCUCUCCUCCUACCUCGUCAGGGCAAUUCUGUGUUGUUUGGACAACCACAGGGAAGAAGG
This is a long non-coding RNA of Tarenaya hassleriana, 313 nucleotides long. RefSeq lists it as uncharacterized. The transcript has 2 exons. Lineage: Eukaryota; Viridiplantae; Streptophyta; Magnoliopsida; Brassicales; Cleomaceae. The record is from RefSeq and is a predicted model, not a curated record.